This 252-nucleotide ribosomal RNA is filed under the name uncultured bacterium. RNAcentral's name for it is "partial 16S ribosomal RNA". It matches the Rfam family "Bacterial small subunit ribosomal RNA", at positions 524 to 776 of the family's 1533-position model. The record is from RNAcentral.
UACGGAGGAUGCGAUCGUUGUCCGGAUUUAUUAGGCGUAAAGCGAGCGCAGGUGGUUUAUUAAGUCUGGUGUAAAAGGCAGUGGCUCAACCAUUGUAUGCAUUGGAAACUGGUAGACUUGAGUGCAGGAGAGGAGAGUGGAAUUCCAUGUGUAGCGGUGAAAUGCGUAGAUAUAUGGAGGAACACCGGUGGCGAAAGCGGCUCUCUGGCCUGUAACUGACACUGAGGCUCGAAAGCGUGGGGAGCAAACAGG